GAGGGUGCAAGCGUUAAUCGGAAUAACUGGGCGUAAAGGGCAUGUAGGCGGAAAAGCAAGUAAGAUGAGAAACACCUGGGCUUAACCUAGGUUGGUCAUUUUAAACUACUUUUCUAGAGUAUCGCAGAGGGAGAUGGAAUUUCAGGUGUAGCGGUGGAAUGCGUAGAUAUCUGAAAGAACACCAGUGGCGAAGGCGAUCUUCUGGGCGAAUACUGACGCUGAGGUGCGAAAGCGUGGGGAGCAAAU
Molecule: ribosomal RNA, 246 nt
Filed under: uncultured bacterium
Lineage: Bacteria
Description: partial 16S ribosomal RNA
Rfam family: Bacterial small subunit ribosomal RNA
Source: RNAcentral